CCUACGGGGGGCAGCAGUGAGGAAUAUUGGUCAAUGGACGAGAGUCUGAACCAGCCAAGUAGCGUGAAGGAUGACUGCCCUAUGGGUUGUAAACUUCUUUUAUAUGGGAACAAAAUGUUCCACGUGUGGGAUUUUGUAUGUACCAUAUGAAUAAGGAUCGGCUAACUCCGUGCCAGCAGCCGCGGUAAUACGGAGGAUCCGAGCGUUAUCCGGAUUUAUUGGGUUUAAAGGGUGCGUAGGUGGAUUGUUAAGUCAGUUGUGAAAGUUUGCGGCUCAACCGUAAGAUUGCAGUUGAAACUGGCAGUCUUGAGUACAGUAGAGGUGGGCGGAAUUCGUGGUGUAGCGGUGAAAUGCUUAGAUAGCACGAAGAACUCCGAUUGCGAAGGCAGCUCACUGGACUGCAACUGACACUGAGGCUCGAAAGUGUGGGUAUCGAACAGGAUUAGAUACCCCUGUAGUC
Molecule: ribosomal RNA, 460 nt
Filed under: uncultured bacterium
Lineage: Bacteria
Description: partial 16S ribosomal RNA
Rfam family: Bacterial small subunit ribosomal RNA
Source: RNAcentral